This 774-nucleotide ribosomal RNA is filed under the name uncultured Neocallimastigales. RNAcentral's name for it is "partial large subunit ribosomal RNA". It matches the Rfam family "Eukaryotic large subunit ribosomal RNA", at positions 22 to 644 of the family's 3401-position model. The record is from RNAcentral. Lineage: Eukaryota; Fungi; Neocallimastigomycota; Neocallimastigomycetes; Neocallimastigales.
GUACACGCUGUGACUAGCAUAUCAAUAAGCGGAGGAAAAGAAACUAACAAGGAUUCCCCUAGUAACGGCGAGUGAAGCGGGAAGAGCUCAAAUUUGAAAUCUUAAAGGGUUUCCCUUUACGAAUUGUAGUUUAAAGAAGUGUUUUCUGUUGAGGUUUUGGUAAAAGUUCUUUGGAAUAGGACAUCAUAGAGGGUGAGAAUCCCGUAUUUGACCUUUACUUUCAACUUUGUGAUACACUUUCAAAGAGUCGGAUUGUUUGGGAAUGCAGUCCAAAAUGGGUGGUAAAUUUCAUCUAAAGCUAAAUAUUGGCGAGAGACCGAUAGCGAACAAGUACCGUGAGGGAAAGAUGAAAAGAACUUUGAAAAGAGAGUUAAACAGUACAUGAAAUUGUCAAAAGGGAAGCGUUUGACACCAGUGUUGUUUUUCUGAAAAUCAAUUAAAGAACUGUUUAUGCUAAGUUGUUUAGACUUUAUCAGCUAACUGUUUAGUUUUGAGCUUUUCUUUAAUGCACUUUUCAGUUAACAAGUCAACAUCAAUUUCUUUUGCUGUAAAAAAGUUUGAGGAAGGUGGCUUGAGAUUCGUCUUAAGUGUUUAUAGCCUCUUGCCUAUGCAGUCGGAGAGAUUGAGGUCUGCAGCGUAGAUCCUUCGGGGCUAAAUGCAUUUGUGCUAAGUUAUAACAUUUCAUAGACAACUUGUUGACUAUGAUUUGUCUUGUAGCUUACUCGCUUAUGUUAUUUUACCUACGCUUAGGAUGUUGAAUCUGUGCGAGACUAC